This is a long non-coding RNA of Hibiscus syriacus, 159 nucleotides long. RefSeq lists it as uncharacterized. The record is from RefSeq and is a predicted model, not a curated record. The transcript is spliced from 2 exons. NCBI's taxonomy places the organism in Eukaryota, Viridiplantae, Streptophyta, Magnoliopsida, Malvales, Malvaceae.
GUCCAAUCUAAGAACUGUUAAUACAAUGUUUGCAGCAUCAUUCAGCAAGCUUGGUGUUCCCAUCAAGACUACAGUCUCAGCUAAUGUUCUUGAAGAAGCUCUAAAUGGAACCGUCACAGUUCGACUCCUUCCUAUUGGAACAUCAGUUAGUGGAAAGGU